AGUGGAACGGUCUGGAAAGUCCGACGGUACAGGGUGAUAGUCCCGUACACGAAAAUGCACUUGCUGUGAACUCGAAGAGUAGGGCGGGACACGUGGUAUCCUGUCUGAAUAUGGGGGGACCAUCCUCCAAGGCUAAAUACUCCUGACUGACCGAUAGUGAACCAGUACCGUGAGGGAAAGGCGAAAAGAACCCCGGCGAGGGGAGUGAAAAAGAACCUGAAACCGUGUACGUACAAGCAGUGGGAGCCUCUUUAUGGGGUGACUGCGUACCUUUUGUAUAAUGGGUCAGCGACUUAUAUUCUGUAGCAAGGUUAACCGUAUAGGGGAGCCGAAGGGAAACCGAGUCUUAACUGGGCGUUAAGUUGCAGGGUAUAGACCCGAAACCCGGUGAUCUAGCCAUGGGCAGGUUGAAGGUUGGGUAACACUAACUGGAGGACCGAACCGACUAAUGUUGAAAAAUUAGCGGAUGACCUGUGGCUGGGGGUGAAAGGCCAAUCAAACCGGGAGAUAGCUGGUUCUCCCCGAAAGCUAUUUAGGUAGCGCCUCGUGAACUCAUCUUCGGGGGUAGAGCACUGUUUCGGCUAGGGGGCCAUCCCGGCUUACCAACCCGAUGCAAACUACGAAUACCGAAGAAUGUUAUCACGGGAGACACACGGCGGGUGCUAACGUCCGUCGUGAAGAGGGAAACAACCCAGACCGCCAGCUAAGGUCCCAAAGUCAUGGUUAAGUGGGAAACGAUGUGGGAAGGCACAGACAGCCAGGAUGUUGGCUUAGAAGCAGCCAUCAUUUAAAGAAAGCGUAAUAGCUCACUGGUCGAGUCGGCCUGCGCGGAAGAUGUAACGGGGCUAAACCAUGCACCGAAGCUGCGGCAGCGACACUAUGUGUUGUUGGGUAGGGGAGCGUUCUGUAAGCCGUUGAAGGUGUGCUGUGAGGCAUGCUGGAGGUAUCAGAAGUGCGAAUGCUGACAUAAGUAACGAUAAAGCGGGUGAAAAGCCCGCUCGCCGGAAGACCAAGGGUUCCUGUCCAACGUUAAUCGGGGCAGGGUGAGUCGACCCCUAAGGCGAGGCCGAAAGGCGUAGUCGAUGGGAAACAGGUUAAUAUUCCUGUACUUGGUGUUACUGCGAAGGGGGGACGGAGAAGGCUAUGUCAGCCGGGCGACGGUUGUCCCGGUUUAAGCAUGUAGGCGGAGGUUCCAGGUAAAUCCGGUACCUUUUAACGCUGAGGUGUGAUGACGAGGCACUACGGUGCUGAAGUGAUAAAUGCCCUGCUUCCAGGAAAAGCCUCUAAGCAUCAGGUAACACGAAAUCGUACCCCAAACCGACACAGGUGGUCAGGUAGAGAAUACCAAGGCGCUUGAGAGAACUCGGGUGAAGGAACUAGGCAAAAUGGUGCCGUAACU
This 1399-nucleotide ribosomal RNA is filed under the name Enterobacter hormaechei subsp. xiangfangensis. Its description in RNAcentral is "partial 23S ribosomal RNA". It matches the Rfam family "Bacterial large subunit ribosomal RNA", at positions 331 to 1735 of the family's 2925-position model. The record is from RNAcentral. Lineage: Bacteria; Pseudomonadati; Pseudomonadota; Gammaproteobacteria; Enterobacterales; Enterobacteriaceae.